CGCUGCUCAGAGCAAAACCGCCGAAAGGCGGUGACGCAGAGCUUAGGGGACUACAGCGGCCCAAGGUCGCCAUGUCAGCCCGGCCGCCAGC
This 91-nucleotide non-coding RNA is filed under the name Nitrospirota bacterium. Its description in RNAcentral is "Nitrospirae bacterium c-di-GMP sequence". It matches the Rfam family "c-di-GMP-I riboswitch aptamer". From Rfam's summary of the family: GEMM was predicted in a large-scale screen for bacterial structured RNA regulatory elements. Genes associated with GEMM are involved in a diverse array of functions, including chemotaxis regulation, signal transduction, secretion and chitin. Lineage: Bacteria; Pseudomonadati; Nitrospirota. The record is from RNAcentral.